CAAGGAAUUUUCGGCAAUGGGGGCAACCCUGACCGAGCAACGCCGCGUGGGCGAGGAAGUCCUUCGGGAUGUAAAGCCCUUUUGUGUGAGAAGAAAGAAGGACGGUAUCACACGAAUAAGCAUCGGCUAACUACGUGCCAGCAGCCGCGGUAAUACGUAGGAUGCAAGCGUUGUCCGGAAUUAUUGGGCGUAAAGGGUGUGCAGGCGGUCUAUCAAGUCAGAUGUGAAAUAACUCGGCUAAACCGGGUGGGGUCAUUUGAAACUGGUAGACUAGAGUAGUGCAGAGGAUAGCGGAAUUCCCGGUGUAGUGGUGAAAUGCGUAGAUAUCGGGAGGAACACCAGUGGCGAAGGCGGCUAUCUGGGCACAAACUGACGCUGAGACACGAAGGCUAAGGGAGCAAACAG
RNAcentral lists this ribosomal RNA (405 nucleotides) under uncultured bacterium. Its description in RNAcentral is "bacterial SSU rRNA". It matches the Rfam family "Bacterial small subunit ribosomal RNA", at positions 355 to 775 of the family's 1533-position model. The record is from RNAcentral.